RNAcentral lists this transfer RNA (75 nucleotides) under Bacteroidota bacterium. RNAcentral describes it as "Bacteroidetes bacterium (sediment metagenome) tRNA-Met". It matches the Rfam family "tRNA". Rfam says of the family: Transfer RNA (tRNA) molecules are approximately 80 nucleotides in length. Lineage: Bacteria; Pseudomonadati; Bacteroidota. The record is from RNAcentral.
AGCGGGGUGGAGUAAUGGUAUCUCGUCGGGCUCAUAACCCGAAGGUUUCAGGUUCAAGUCCUGACCCCGCCACUA